RNAcentral lists this long non-coding RNA (200 nucleotides) under Capsicum annuum. Its description in RNAcentral is "long non-coding RNA (CANN_LNC007327)". Lineage: Eukaryota; Viridiplantae; Streptophyta; Magnoliopsida; Solanales; Solanaceae. The record is from RNAcentral.
AAACAAAAUUCAAAAACCAAAGUAAUGUCCAGUCCGAAUUAUACAGUCCAAAAAGAGAACAAUACAAAAAUAGAAAUCCUAUUUAGACUAAUCCUAAACUAUAUUCCAAUGCUUUACCCGAUACCUCGGGCCUUCAUCACGAACCUCCUUUGCGUACAUGAUACGUCGGGGCAUUCCCUGGUGAAUAGAUACAAGUACCU